This is a non-coding RNA of Drosophila virilis, 527 nucleotides long. The record is from RefSeq and is a predicted model, not a curated record. Lineage: Eukaryota; Metazoa; Arthropoda; Insecta; Diptera; Drosophilidae.
AAGCAAUGCCGGCAAGUGUCUGUGAAGAUGUAUGUGUGUCUGUUUAUAUUCAUUUCGAUUGCAUUCUCGCUUCAACCGUUGUUACCACCACCGCCGUCGCAAUGGACGAUGCCUCGUGUCAAAGUUGUUGCACUUUGCAACACUGAUUUGCAUAAAAGGCCUUUUAUCACCUCCCGCUAGGAGGCGAGCAGACGAAAUUGACAAUGCAAAUCGAUGUGCAAAGGCCGUGGAAAGGGGAAUAGACAUCAAAAUAUGUAACUCGAUUUGCCAACAGGUUGACAUUGUUAAUUAACGUGUAACGAAAAAUCGAAACUGUUUUACACUUCACUUCAUUUCGUUACACAAACUGUGUUACCCUGUAUUCCACCGACUUGCAUGUCGCCAAAAAUGUUCAUAAAUAAAUUGUCUAUGUUAUGACUAAACGUUUAGAUAAGAACGAACCCACAUAUUACGAUCCAUUGUUAUUGCACAUUUUAUGGCCCAAGAAAUGCGUCAAUAAAUGAACGGAAAAUAAUUCAGCUAAUGCA